Molecule: ribosomal RNA, 429 nt
Filed under: Verrucomicrobiota bacterium
Lineage: Bacteria; Pseudomonadati; Verrucomicrobiota
Description: Verrucomicrobia bacterium partial 16S ribosomal RNA
Rfam family: Bacterial small subunit ribosomal RNA
Source: RNAcentral
UAGGGAAUCUUCCGCAAUGGACGAAAGUCUGACGGAGCAACGCCGCGUGAGUGAAGAAGGAUUUCGGUUCGUAAAACUCUGUUGUUAGGGAAGAAAAAAUGUAUAGUAACUAUAUACAAAAGAGACGGUACCUAACCAGAAAGCCACGGCUAACUACGUGCCAGCAGCCGCGGUAAUACGUAGGUGGCAAGCGUUGUCCGGAAUUAUUGGGCGUAAAGCGCGCGCAGGUGGUUUAGAAAGUCUGAUGUGAAAGCCCACGGCUCAACCGUGGAUGGUCAUUGGAAACUAAUAAACUUGAGUGCAGGAGAGAAAAGUGGAAUUCCUGGUGUAGCGGUGAAAUGCGUAGAGAUUAGGAGGAACACCGGUGGCGAAAGCGGCUUUUUGGCCUGCAACUGACACUGAGGCGCGAAAGCGUGGGGAGCAAACAGG